Molecule: long non-coding RNA, 408 nt
Filed under: Cicer arietinum (chickpea)
Lineage: Eukaryota; Viridiplantae; Streptophyta; Magnoliopsida; Fabales; Fabaceae
Description: long non-coding RNA (CARI_LNC000801)
Source: RNAcentral
CUCGUGUCAUUUGAUUUAUGAUACUAUAUAUGAGUUUUGUCCUUUUAUAUUGCAUAUAUAUUAAAAAUAAAUUAUAAAUGAGUAAAGCUAUUAAACUUUUAUUGUUAAUUAUUAUCUAUGUGUUUUUAAUAACAUAUAUACACCGUAGCACGCAUACAAUAAGUCACAAAUUUAAGCUACUUAAUUACACUUCAUCAGCACAUGAUUGGCUUUCUUUCCAGCCUAGAUUAAUAUAAAAAAGAAAAAAAUUAAUCCAAAACACAACCAUUUCUUUUUGCUUGAUAUGAGGAAGUUUACAACAUAUUCUUAUCAACCUUUUGUUCCUAUACCGUGUCUGCUUUAUUAGCUUUCCAUUUAUUUUAGAGAUUUGCGCAGAUCUUAGGAUCCGUGUGAUUAAUUUGUCUAAAG